RNAcentral lists this ribosomal RNA (322 nucleotides) under uncultured bacterium. RNAcentral describes it as "bacterial SSU rRNA". It matches the Rfam family "Bacterial small subunit ribosomal RNA", at positions 794 to 1120 of the family's 1533-position model. The record is from RNAcentral.
UCCACGCCGUAAACGAUGUUCACUCGCUGUUUGCGAUAUAUUGCAAGCGGCCAAGCGAAAGCAUUAAGUGAACCACCUGGGGAGUACGAUCGCAAGGUUGAAACUCAAAGGAAUUGACGGGGGCCCGCACAAGCGGAGGAACAUGUGGUUUAAUUCGAUGAUACGCGAGGAACCUUACCCGGGCUUAAAUGUAGGAUGCAUGUAGUGGAAACACUCUUCCCUUCGGGGCUGCCUACAAGGUGCUGCAUGGUUGUCGUCAGCUCGUGCCGUGAGGUGUCGGGUUAAGUCCCAUAACGAGCGCAACCCCUAUCGUUAGUUGCCA